UGACAGUGAUGACUAUCCAAAACUGAUCUGUUGAUGAGACGGAUUAUACGGAUCUGACUACUGAGUC
This is a small nucleolar RNA of Betta splendens (Siamese fighting fish), 67 nucleotides long. Ensembl annotates it as small nucleolar RNA SNORD50. NCBI's taxonomy places the organism in Eukaryota, Metazoa, Chordata, Actinopteri, Anabantiformes, Osphronemidae. The record is from Ensembl.